UGUUUGUUUGUUUUGUUUCAUUUUUGCUUUUUCUAAAAACAGUAUGCCUAUCUUGUCUCUUUAAAGUGUGUUUAAUCUUUCAGGAGAUCUCUGUUAUACGUGCAACUAGCAAGACAGGGGCCAUGCUCAGCUUCAUCUGAAGAAUCCAAGAUGCAACUGCAAGGCUUGUGCAAUGUCAUUUGAUAGUAUAUUUUCAUUUCAAGAGAAAGAAAGGAAGCAUGAAGAAAAGAUGAAUACAUAUCUGAGAGUGGAGCAAUCAACUUUUUUUCUAUGAAGUCCAGAAUAUAUGACCUCCCUAGAUAUAGAAAAAUACCUCUGUAUUUUUUUCUGAAUCAAGUCUGCAGCCAGGUUGAAAAA
This 357-nucleotide long non-coding RNA is filed under the name Coturnix japonica (Japanese quail). RNAcentral describes it as "lncRNA (ENSCJPG00005017983.1)". The record is from RNAcentral. Lineage: Eukaryota; Metazoa; Chordata; Aves; Galliformes; Phasianidae.